This 76-nucleotide transfer RNA is filed under the name Methylotenera sp. RNAcentral's name for it is "tRNA-Phe". It matches the Rfam family "tRNA". Rfam says of the family: Transfer RNA (tRNA) molecules are approximately 80 nucleotides in length. The record is from RNAcentral. Lineage: Bacteria; Pseudomonadati; Pseudomonadota; Betaproteobacteria; Nitrosomonadales; Methylophilaceae.
GGCUGGGUAGCUCAGUCGGUAGAGCAGCGGAUUGAAAAUCCGCGUGUCGCCAGUUCGAUUCUGGCCCCGGCCACCA